This 72-nucleotide transfer RNA is filed under the name Salix viminalis (osier). The record is from RNAcentral. Lineage: Eukaryota; Viridiplantae; Streptophyta; Magnoliopsida; Malpighiales; Salicaceae.
GCGCUUGUAGCUCAAUGGGUAAAACGUUUAUUUUCUAAGCAGGAUGUCAUUGGUUUGACCCUGUCUAGCGUG